This 497-nucleotide ribosomal RNA is filed under the name uncultured bacterium. Its description in RNAcentral is "partial 16S ribosomal RNA". It matches the Rfam family "Bacterial small subunit ribosomal RNA", at positions 28 to 507 of the family's 1533-position model. The record is from RNAcentral.
GAUGAACGCUGGCGGCGUGCCUAAUACAUGCAAGUCGAGCGAACAGACGAGGAGCUUGCUCCUCUGACGUUAGCGGCGGACGGGUGAGUAACACGUGGAUAACCUACCUAUAAGACUGGGAUAACUUCGGGAAACCGGAGCUAAUACCGGAUAAUAUAUUGAACCGCAUGGUUCAAUAGUGAAAGACGGUUUUGCUGUCACUUCUAGAUGGAUCCGCGCCGCAUUAGCUAGUUGGUAAGGUAACGGCUUACCAAGGCAACGAUGCGUAGCCGACCUGAGAGGGUGAUCGGCCACACUGGAACGGAGACACGGUCCAGACUCCUACGGGAGGCAGCAGUAGGGAAUCGUCCGCAAUGGGCGAAAGCUUGACGGAGCAACGCCGCGUGAGUGAUGAAGGUCUUCGGAUCGUAAAACUCUGUUAUUAGGGAAGAACAAAUGUGUAAGUAACUAUGCACGUCGUGACGGUACCUAAUCAGAAAGCCACGGCUAACUACGUG